This is a long non-coding RNA of Cyprinodon tularosa, 1807 nucleotides long. RefSeq lists it as uncharacterized. The record is from RefSeq and is a predicted model, not a curated record. Lineage: Eukaryota; Metazoa; Chordata; Actinopteri; Cyprinodontiformes; Cyprinodontidae. The transcript is spliced from 2 exons.
CUGUCAGUCCGCAGUUAAAACAUAACCAGCAAAAACACGUCUAUCAGUUGUUCUCCGCCGACCAGCCGAGGCAGAGCAGGCUUUCCCUCCGCAGAGGCCAUCUCUGAGCGCAGGUCUCAGACCCUCAACUCUUAAUCAUUCUGCCUUUUUUCUUUUGAGAACCGCCGCAACAUUUUGAAAACAUUUUUUUUAUUUUCUUCUUCUUUCUUUCUUUUUUUCCCUGAAAGAAAAUUGUUCCUUUUGUGCUCCUGCCGUCGGCCCCCUGCGUGGAUGUCCCCAGGUGUCCAAUUCAGAAACGCUUUCAGGGCCACCGUCGGCGGCACGCUUUGGAUAACCCUGAUGCACGUCAUCCUUCCUUCAGGACAGAGUCCUCCCCUUAGACACUGAAUCUAACAUUUAAAACUCAUUCUUAAUGCUGCCGGUUUGAAGAAUGAAAAGCGGUGGGUGGAAAACCCCCGUUGAUUUGUUUCUGAAAGGUUUGGCUGGUUUAAUCUAAGGGAGGACAAGGAGAAGGCCGCUCAGGACUGCCAGUUCUGCCGCGGCCUUCAGGAGGAGGAGGAGAGCCGCCGCCAAGGUUUACCCAAACGCUGCCCUGUCCUCAAGGCUUGAGCUGCCUUAAGGAGUCAGAUGGGUUUGAUGGGUCCGGAGUGGCGUGGAAGACUAGUGAUUUUGUUGUUUUGUUGUUCGACAGACAACAAGUCAUUGUCUCCCUCCCUGCUUUGAGACACGAGCUCAAUGAAACCUGUCUGCUCUUCCUCGACUCGAUCCAUUCUGUUUGUGAAGAGCGUUUUUACAUCAUACUGAUGAAGUUCUGCAGCAAAAUGAAAUGCUUACCCUUUAUAGGAAAGGUUGCAUUUAUUUAUUUAUUUUUAAAUGUUUAAAUCUAUCCUGGUAGCUGUAUUUUAUAUCCAUUAACUCCUUACAGAGCUGCUUCCAACAUUUUAGAGAGUAGAUUUCUGCUUUUCAGCGUUCUGCAACAAUUAAGUUCUGUUUUUCUCAUUUAUAAGGUUAAUUAUUCCCGUAUCUGUUAGUUCAUCUGAUUAUCAAACAGGACUCAGCUCUUGAUUAUUUUCUGUGUGGAGCGACGAGUGACAGAGCGGCUGAUAAGCAACAGGUCAGAGGUGAUGCAGAUACUGGUGUUUACUGCACUGAGCGGAUCGGAUCAGAUCCAGACAUUUUCAGUUCAUCUUUAUCUCUUGACAUUUUUCACUGUUUUAGAAGUGAAUUUUAACACAAAGCAGAAAAAACAACUCUUAAGUUUUUAAUCCCUUUUAUUGAUGGAGUUGAAAUGAAACAGUAAAACUUAACAGUCGGCAGUGUUUAGCGUUCAGAGUAGAUUCUGAGUCCGUUUUUUUUGUUGGGGUGGAUGUUCACUGAGGUGGCAUCAGGGCCUUGGACUGCUCCAUCACCUGCUGCAGAAACUUCUCCAUCAUGUCAGUCAGGGGCUUCACCUGAGCCUGCAGGUUUUCGGUCAGGGGCUGGACCUGAGAGUUGAGGUCGUCCGUCAGGGGCCGGACGUGCUCCUCGAUGUUGGAGAUGAACGGCUUGACCUGCUCCUGCAGCUUGGCGGCCUCAGCCUGGACCUUCUCCACCAGAGGCUGGAUCCUGGCCCUGCUGCCCUCCAUGUAGGUCCUACAGCGAAGGGACAGAGAAAGAAAUCUGUGAAAGCUGCAAAAAAGAAACAUUCACCUACAAAGAUGACGGCCUGUGCUUUAAUAUUUGAUUCUUUGGGUGUGUAAAAAACUUCUGUGCUACAGAUUUUAUUUUAUAAAGACAAAAAAGUUCAAUAAAGUCAACUUUGUAAAGU